UGGGGAAUUUUGGACAAUGGGCGCAAGCCUGAUCCAGCAAUGCCGCGUGCAGGAUGAAGGCCUUCGGGUUGUAAACUGCUUUUGUACAGAACGAAAAGUCUUGGGUUAAUACCCUGGGACCAUGACGGUACUGUAAGAAUAAGCACCGGCUAACUACGUGCCAGCAGCCGCGGUAAUACGUAGGGUGCAAGCGUUAAUCGGAAUUACUGGGCGUAAAGCGUGCGCAGGCGGUUAUGUAAGACAGAGGUGAAAUCCCCGGGCUCAACCUGGGAACGGCCUUUGUGACUGCAUAGCUAGAGUACGGUAGAGGGGGAUGGAAUUCCGCGUGUAGCAGUGAAAUGCGUAGAUAUGCGGAGGAACACCGAUGGCGAAGGCAAUCCCCUGGACCUGUACUGACGCUCAUGCACGAAAGCGUGGGGAGCAAACAGGAUUAGAUACCCUGGUAGUCCACGCCCUAAACGAUGUCAACUGGUUGUUGGGUCUUAACUGACUCAGUAACG
This 500-nucleotide ribosomal RNA is filed under the name uncultured bacterium. RNAcentral's name for it is "bacterial SSU rRNA". It matches the Rfam family "Bacterial small subunit ribosomal RNA", at positions 355 to 848 of the family's 1533-position model. The record is from RNAcentral.